AACCAAUGGUGAGGGCACAAUAGGUCCUUGUAUCUCUCCCACGCAUCGUAGAGUGUUUCUAGAUCCAUAUGCACAAAAGAAGAGAUAUCAUUCCUCAACUU
This 101-nucleotide small nucleolar RNA is filed under the name Gossypium arboreum. Its description in RNAcentral is "Plant small nucleolar RNA R71". It matches the Rfam family "Plant small nucleolar RNA R71". Rfam says of the family: R71 is a member of the C/D box family of snoRNAs containing the C (UGAUGA) and D (CUGA) box motifs. Multiple nearly identical copies of this snoRNA have been identified in Arabidopsis, and it is thought to function as a 2'-O-ribose methylation guide for 18S ribosomal RNA. Lineage: Eukaryota; Viridiplantae; Streptophyta; Magnoliopsida; Malvales; Malvaceae. The record is from Rfam by way of RNAcentral.